UGGAAGUGAUGAAAUAGAGAUAAUUGGAUGUCUCUUUGAAUGGAGUGUGUGUGAUACAUGGAAAUUAAGCCAAAUGGGGGUGGGGAAUAUGUGUGUGUGUGUGUGUGUGCAUGUAUAGAAGAGGCUUUAAACGGGGGCACUGAUAAUGCGGUGCUGAUUCCGGAGUGCAUCUGAGGCAUGUUGGUCACUUCUGGGGUGCAACUUUACAACAUUGCCGAUGAUUAAAGCCCAAAGCAAGCCCACCGAGACAAGCCUAAGCAUCCUAAAUCUCUGACAGGUUCAUUAUCAAAAGUGAUCCUGUGAUCUGAUCUGA
Molecule: small nucleolar RNA, 313 nt
Filed under: Colius striatus (speckled mousebird)
Lineage: Eukaryota; Metazoa; Chordata; Aves; Coliiformes; Coliidae
Description: Small Cajal body-specific RNA 7
Rfam family: Small Cajal body-specific RNA 7
Source: Rfam by way of RNAcentral